Molecule: ribosomal RNA, 497 nt
Filed under: uncultured bacterium
Lineage: Bacteria
Description: partial 16S ribosomal RNA
Rfam family: Bacterial small subunit ribosomal RNA
Source: RNAcentral
GAUGAACGCUGGCGGCGUGCUUAAUACAUGCAAGUCGAACGAACGGACGAGAAGCUUGCUGCUUUGUUGUUUGCGGCGGGCGGGUGAGUAACGCGUGGAUACCCUCCCUAUAUGACUGGUAUAACUUCGGAACACCGGCGCUUAUCCGGGAUAAUAUUUUGCACCGCAUGGGUGAAUAGAAAAAUUCGGCGUUGCUGGAACUUAUCGCUGGUUCCGAGCUGCAUUAGCUGGUUGGUAAGGUCACGGCUUACCACGGGAACGAUGCCUAGCCGACCUGAGAGGGGGAUCGCCCACACUGGAAGUGGGACACGCUCCUGGGUCCUACGGGAGGCAGCAGUAGGGAAUCUGCCGCAAUGGGCGAGAGCAUGACGGAGCAACGCCGCGUGAGAUAUGAAGGUCUUCGGAUCGUAAUGCUCGGUUAUUAGGUAAGAACAUAUUUGGAAGUAACUGUACACAGCUUGACGGUACCGAAUCAGAAAGCCACGGCUAACUACGUG